Long non-coding RNA from Scylla paramamosain (green mud crab), 1217 nucleotides. RefSeq lists it as uncharacterized. The record is from RefSeq and is a predicted model, not a curated record. NCBI's taxonomy places the organism in Eukaryota, Metazoa, Arthropoda, Malacostraca, Decapoda, Portunidae. The transcript has 3 exons.
GUGAAUGCCCUGUUCAAGGAAUAUCCAUACCUUGCAGAUCCUGUAAGUAAUUUAGUAUUGUAUUGAUUGGAACAUAGCUUUUUAUAGAUCCCACAUGAACACAUCGAUUUUAAUUGUUUUCAAAAUCUUUUAAAUUUCAGAAAUGGUGGAGGCAGUCCUCGAGGAACAAGAUGAAGCUUUUCAGAUUGCCCUUAACAUCAAGCUGGUGCAUUUUGGAGCUUAACGAAAAAUUUGGUUCUCCAGGGAUGAAACCAGCUUAGAAACCAGAUGAGGAUGGAGAGGUCAUCCAACUUCAUUUCAAUAUACUAAAACAAGAGAUGAGGAAAGCUACUCCAGCUAUGCCGGAGAAAGAUGGAGAGAAGCUUCACUUAUAGACACAAAAGGAGGUAUAAUCCUGAGGUAUCUGUGGCACAAAUUUUUGAAGAAAUUCCAACUCUACGAUACAAAAACUUUCUAGCAAUUGAGGCUAAGUCAUUGAAUGUGGCUUCCCCAGGUGAAAUGUGGGAUAAAUUACAUGGAUCCAUCAUUCACUUGAUGAAAUUUUCAAAACCAAGGUCUAAAAACUAUCACCAGUUUCACAGCAGAUAUCUAGAAAAUUUGGACAGCACUCUGAAAGGGCAAGAAAGGAAAGAUGAUCAAGUCUCCAACUCCCACUUUGGUGAUGACGGCAAAGUCAUUUCAAAUCUUCAUCAACGGGGAGAAAGUUCUCAACAACAACAUAACAAAGUUCAGUGAAGCCUUAGAAGCGCUUUACUAUUAUUUUUCGGUAUUUGCAAUAGAGUACCCAAAAGAAAUAAAAAACGCAAUGUUUUUUUAGAAAAAAUAAUAUUUAAAGGAAGUACAAAGGUGCUGUCUACUGUAAUGUCAUGGGCCAAAAAAACUUGAACAGCUUAAAUAAAGAGGUAAGCUAUGCAGUGUUAAAAACGUGACCUGUUCUGUGUUAGUAGGGAGGCAACAACUGACGGGAAAAAUGUGUCUUUAAGAUUUUUUUUUUUUCCGAGCCGGCAAGCCUCAAAAUCAGUUAUUUGCAAAAGGCUUCAAGUAUUUCAUGUAUAUGGCCUGCCCUGCACACACUGACAUCAGAACAGUGUAAGCCAUCUUUAUAAAACAUUUAAAGCUAGGAGGAGUUAUUGUAUGGAUAUAUUGGUUUACUUUGUAUUCUGUAAAUUUUCAUGUAAUAUUUUAAGAUGUAUAUAAUAAUGAUUAGAGUCAGUAUA